GUAGGUGAACCUGCGGAAGGAUCAUUAACACGUCCACACGUAUCAACCCUCGCGAAUCUGUUUAGUCGAUCCUUAGAAAUUGGGAGCUGAUGAACGUCGGAGAAAACUGUUACGAUUGGGGAGGGGAGAAUGCUCGUCCGUAUAUCGGAGAACUCAAGAUUUUGAUUCUUCGGUGUCGGCUCUGGGUACUUUUUUCCUCGACAGUUUUUGUUUAUCACUAUGGCUCUCAGUUUCAAACAAGAACAUGAAAGGAUCGUUUACCCUUUCGAUUUUUUAAAACCCCUUGUACAAUAUGUACUGAAUCUCUUCUUUUUUGAUUGAGCCUUUUGUCCUCGGAUGAAAACUCUAAAAAAAAAGAAAAUACGAAACAAAUGAACAACUCUUAGCAACGGAUAUCUUGGUUUCC
RNAcentral lists this unclassified non-coding RNA (406 nucleotides) under rhizosphere metagenome. RNAcentral's name for it is "partial ribosomal RNA internal transcribed spacer region". The record is from RNAcentral.